Long non-coding RNA from Setaria italica (foxtail millet), 2973 nucleotides. RefSeq lists it as uncharacterized. The transcript has 3 exons. The record is from RefSeq and is a predicted model, not a curated record. NCBI's taxonomy places the organism in Eukaryota, Viridiplantae, Streptophyta, Magnoliopsida, Poales, Poaceae.
GGCAGCCACAGAGACACGAAAAGCUCCGGCUCCCCUGCCGCCGGCCAUGUCGGCCGGUCGCCGUCGCCGCCCGCCCGGGCCCUUCUUCUCUGCUCCGCCUCCCAACUCUUAAUUUGAAAACCCGAGCUUAAACAGCCGACGACGACGUGGCGGACGCAGCGGUGUUCCGUCGAACACCCGGUUAGAUUGAAGCGCAAACCCGCGAAAUUACGCCGAGGGAAUUGGAACUGUUGUCACUUACAUCCUGUUGAAUCUAUCAGAACACCAUUUUGGUCGGCCAGCGCCGAGCCAUUGACUGGUUGUGGUUGCCUGGUCGGUCGUCAGUUAAGCAGGUAGUGCAUCAGCUAAAUAUUUUCAGUUCUGAUCACGGAACUUUAACUAUUUGCAGUUGCUUCAGUGAUAUGCAUAAUUGCUUCCAAUGGCAGGAUGGACGAACUUAAACUACUCUCUUUUAUAGUGGUGACAUUUACCUUGCUUGAUCUGACCUGAGCACUAUCUGUUAGGUUCUGACUGUCAGGUAUAUUGCAGUUUUCCGUGUGCUUUUCUAGGCAACUAAUCCAAAUGGUAGUCCACAACAAUUGUAGUACAAUGACUGAAUGCUAGUGCAGGAGUUCGACAUUGCUGUUGAUAUCUAAGUGGGUACAAUGAUUGUUUUUCGUGGAGUUAGACCACAUGCAGUCAUACAGGCACACUGCAGAGCACUGAUAUGACAGACUACUUUUUUAUGACUUCGUCUGUCUAGAUAAGCCGUAAUCGAACGCACUUCAAAACACUCAUGACAUAUAGCCAUCAGCAUGCGUGAUUACAGUACCCUUUUUCUGUUUAUUACCCCUUUUAGCUGCUGCUGGAAAGGAUAAGGUGAAUCAGGCCUUCCAUUGGCCAGUUCAAUGCUGUCAAUCACCAAUAGUAUUUAUGGCCCGGGCUACCUUUUUGGUACCCCAUCAAUUUUAGGUUUCUUGACAAGGACUGGUUUUUGCCAAUUGAUGUCAUGUUCCGGAAGGACCACUACCUCCUUUAAGAUACAUUGUAGUGCAUAGUAAAAAACAAAAAUGAAAUGCUAUUUCUGUUUUUGUGCUUAGUUUCAGACUUUGUCUGCAAAGUUGAGACUUAAUAUAUUGUUAAUGUUACAUACUUGAUGCAACUCUGCUACUAUCCAUAUGGAAUGCUGAAGGUAAGAGAUAAGAAGCUGUCAAAGAAUGAAGAUAACCAUGCUAGUACCUUUUUUUCCCUUCUGAUUAUUUACAUUAUGAUCGCCAUGAAGGUGUUUCUCCACAAGGCGCACCAGGGUUAAUCUUACAUACAAUGUGGUAAAAGCAAGCAUGCAUUUAAAAGUAGGUUCAGUAAGAUGAUUUGUUGAUAUUACACUAGUUUUAAGUUCAACAGAUCUUUUUCUUGAUCUGAAUAUAAUUUCUUUAGUGUCUGUGGUAUAUUAUUUAUUACCAGAAGAUUUUACAAGCACAUUCUCAAGAUUUUGCAAGGAGUUGUGGAAAUGGGAGGGGCAAAAAGGGUGGGAAGUCUAAAUAAAGAGCAUUCCAAUGCCCUUCAUUUUUUCCAGAAUAAUAUGAUUUUAUGAAAACAAUGCAUUAUUAGGCAAUUCAGUAUGUAGAAAAAAAUUAAGAUGCAGAUGAUUCUACUUUUUCCUUGAUAUGGAUGUUAGUGUGUCUGAUGUUUUCUCUCACUUUUAGAUGAUAAUCCUAGAUUGAAAAUCGAUAAAGGUGACUAUUGUUAGUGUUUGUAGCUUAUGUUGGUGUGGUAUAGCUUGCAAGGGUGACAUACUAAUGCUGAUGAUGUAUCUAUUGAGAUGGAACGUCCAGAUUGAUUUGGACGGGCACUGAGCAAUACUAUAGCAUGAUCUGUUUGAAAGAACAACAUAUCAAAGUAACUACCGUAAUGGAGACAGUCAUAAUCAGAAUGGACAAGCUUUAACUAUAUUAUUAUUGGACUUGCAGACAUAAGUGAGACUCAAACAUAGCUUCCAGUUUUAUUUGUUUUUUCAAGUUUGCAUUGAAUGCUUCAUCUAUUGGAUUGAUUGUGCGGUCACAUCCCACUAAUGGGCAUUUUUAUGAUACUUUGUUACUUCCUGGUUAAGUUGUAUUUUAAUCCUAAGAUUCAAAAUGUGCUUAGGCUUUGAGAUUUGUAGAUCUAUCUGGUGCUUUUUUAGAUGCUAUUUGAUCCAAUUGUCUUUUGUCUCUCUUUCUCACUAUCUGUCUCUAGUUGCUACCUGUUUCAGUUCUGAAAACUCUAUCUUUAUGUUUUAUAGCUGUUCUGCCAGAAGGUGAUGCAUGUGCUUCUGUAUAUGCUUCAUGAGAAUGUUUCGUGUCACCAGUUUUAAUCCCUUCAGUAGGCCUGAUUGUGUAGUCUCGACGCAGUUGUUUCUGGUCAAAUGGACUCAUGCUACUGGAGUGAUAAAUUAAUUUAGCAAGUUUUCAAUAAUUGAUCACACGAAAAAUAUCACCGUCUUAAGUGAAAAUACUGUAGAAUGGCUUAAUAUACUUAAGAGGCAAAUGAUAUUUCAGCAAGAAAAACAUCAAGAUUCAUAUAUUACUUGUUAAGUGCUGACUGUUUUGCAUGAAUGUAGGGUAUUUUCCUUGAUGAAAUAUGAUUCAUACAGUUAUGUGCAUGUAGGUGUAAUUUAGAUCUUGAACAGCUUUAUUUGUUCCUCAUCAUAACAAAAAGUUGCUGCCUUUUUCUAUUAUCAUCAGUUAACACAGUACUCAGCAUGUGUCGUACUUGAUAGUGCUCAGUUGAGCAUUCUUCUUUGCACAGGGUCUUUGUGGUGUAACAACUGAUGGAGCUGAUAUAAUCAUCAAAUAGUUGCUUCCAGAUAGCAUCAAAGAUAAGGGUUGUAGUUCUUCGUCAUCUCAAGGCAGAAGAGAACUCUUCCAUCCGAUUCGAACUGGCUAGCCCACACUGGAUCCUGAGGGUUAAACGAUGAUCUCCAGUUGUUCAGGAUACCCGUCCUGUUGAUGGUGA